Molecule: ribosomal RNA, 473 nt
Filed under: uncultured bacterium
Lineage: Bacteria
Description: bacterial SSU rRNA
Rfam family: Bacterial small subunit ribosomal RNA
Source: RNAcentral
AGAGUUUGAUCAUGGCUCAGAUUGAACGCUGGCGGCAUGCCUUACACAUGCAAGUCGAACGGUAACAGGUCUUCGGAUGCUGACGAGUGGCGAACGGGUGAGUAAUACAUCGGAACGUGCCCGAUCGUGGGGGAUAACGGAGCGAAAGCUUUGCUAAUACCGCAUACGAUCUACGGAUGAAAGCAGGGGACCGCAAGGCCUUGCGCGGACGGAGCGGCCGAUGGCAGAUUAGGUAGUUGGUGGGAUAAAAGCUUACCAAGCCGACGAUCUGUAGCUGGUCUGAGAGGACGACCAGCCACACUGGGACUGAGACACGGCCCAGACUCCUACGGGAGGCAGCAGUGGGGAAUUUUGGACAAUGGGCGCAAGCCUGAUCCAGCCAUGCCGCGUGCAGGAUGAAGGCCUUCGGGUUGUAAACUGCUUUUGUACGGAACGAAAAGACUCCUUCUAAUAAAGGGGGUCCAUGACGGUAC